CACGUAGGCGGUUUGGUAAGUCAGCUGUGAAAUCCCUCGGCUCAACCGAGGAACUGCAGCUGAUACUGCCGAACUAGAGUGCGCGAGGGGAGAGCGGAAUUCCUGGUGGAGCGGUGAUAUGCGUAGAUAUCAGGAGGAACGCCGGAGGCGAAAGCGGCUCUCUGGCGCGCAACUGACGCUGAGGUGCGAAAGCUAGGGGAGCGAACA
This 207-nucleotide ribosomal RNA is filed under the name uncultured bacterium. RNAcentral's name for it is "partial 16S ribosomal RNA". It matches the Rfam family "Bacterial small subunit ribosomal RNA", at positions 568 to 774 of the family's 1533-position model. The record is from RNAcentral.